RNAcentral lists this long non-coding RNA (398 nucleotides) under Nicotiana benthamiana. RNAcentral's name for it is "long non-coding RNA (NBEN_LNC008650)". The record is from RNAcentral. Lineage: Eukaryota; Viridiplantae; Streptophyta; Magnoliopsida; Solanales; Solanaceae.
GCCUUUAUUUUCUUUGUCCUAACAUUAUUCAAUCAAGCUGAUGAAGCAUGGAGGUUUGAAAGUCUUCAGUUACCUGUAACUUCAGUAAGGUUUCGGCUUUCUUCUUUUCAGGAUUCUAGGAAGCAGCAGUCUUUUACAUUUUACUGUUUUUCUAAACUCAAAAAUUCAAAAUGGUUAUACCUGGACUCAUUCAGGAUUCUAGGAAGCAGCAGUCUUUUGCAUUUUACUGUUUUUCUAAACUCAAAAAUUCAAAAUGGUUAUACCUGGACUCCAAGCUUCAGAAACGUAGUUUGCUUGCUAAGCAGCUGCCCCUCUCCGAGUGCACAUAUGAGAACAUCAAGUCCCUCGAUUGCAGAAGUGGGCAAUUACAGUUCAAUGCUCAUGCAGACCCUUCCUCA